RNAcentral lists this transfer RNA (76 nucleotides) under Acinetobacter phage vB_AbaM_PhT2. RNAcentral describes it as "tRNA-Met". It matches the Rfam family "tRNA". Rfam says of the family: Transfer RNA (tRNA) molecules are approximately 80 nucleotides in length. Their secondary structure includes four short double-helical elements and three loops (D, anti-codon, and T loops). The record is from RNAcentral. Lineage: Duplodnaviria; Heunggongvirae; Uroviricota; Caudoviricetes; Pantevenvirales; Straboviridae.
GGGCCUAUAGCUCAGUUGGCAGAGCUGCGGACUCAUAAUCCGUCGGUCACAGGUUCGAGUCCUGUUGGGCCCACCA